This 465-nucleotide ribosomal RNA is filed under the name uncultured bacterium. Its description in RNAcentral is "bacterial SSU rRNA". It matches the Rfam family "Bacterial small subunit ribosomal RNA", at positions 338 to 795 of the family's 1533-position model. The record is from RNAcentral.
CCUACGGGGUGCAGCAGUGGGGAAUAUUGCACAAUGGGCGCAAGCCUGAUGCAGCCAUGCCGCGUGUAUGAAGAAGGCCUUCGGGUUGUAAAGUACUUUCAGCGGGGAGGAAUGUGUUGUAGUUAAUAACCGCAGCAAUUGACGUUACCCGCAGAAGAAGCACCGGCUAACUCCGUGCCAGCAGCCGCGGUAAUACGGAGGGUGCAAGCGUUAAUCGGAAUUACUGGGCGUAAAGCGCACGCAGGCGGUCUGUCAAGUCGGACGUGAAAUCCCCGGGCUCAACCUGGGAACUGCAUUCGAAACCGGCAGGCUUGAGUCUUGUAGAGGGGGGUAGAAUUCCAGGUGUAGCGGUGAAAUGCGUAGAGAUCUGGAGGAAUACCGGUGGCGAAGGCGGCCCCCUGGACAAAGACUGACGCUCAGGUGCGAAAGCGUGGGGAGCAAACAGGAUUAGAUACCCCGGUAGUC